UACGUAGGUGGCAAGCGUUGUCCGGAAUUAUUGGGCGUAAGGCGCGCGCAGGCGGUCCUUUAAGUCUGAUGUGAAAGCCCACGGCUCAACCGUGGAGGGUCAUUGGAAACUGGGGGACUUGAGUGCAGGAGAGAAGAGUGGAAUUCCACGUGUAGCGGUGAAAUGCGUAGAGAUGUGGAGGAACACCAGUGGCGAAGGCGACUCUUUGGCCUGUAACUGACGCUGAGGAGCGAAAGCGUGGGGAGCGAACAGG
RNAcentral lists this ribosomal RNA (253 nucleotides) under uncultured bacterium. RNAcentral's name for it is "partial 16S ribosomal RNA". It matches the Rfam family "Bacterial small subunit ribosomal RNA", at positions 524 to 776 of the family's 1533-position model. The record is from RNAcentral.